RNAcentral lists this ribosomal RNA (477 nucleotides) under uncultured bacterium. Its description in RNAcentral is "bacterial SSU rRNA". It matches the Rfam family "Bacterial small subunit ribosomal RNA", at positions 26 to 507 of the family's 1533-position model. The record is from RNAcentral.
AGGAUGAACGCUGGCGGCGUGCCUCAAACAUGCAAGUCGAGCGAGGCUAUGAAUUACCGCAAGGUAAGGCAUAGCCUAGCGGCGAACGGGUGAGUAACACGUGGGUAACCUACCUGGAAGACAGGGAUAACGAUUCGAAAGGGUCGCUAAUACCUGAUAAUAUCCAUCUGCCGGAUGGCGGAGGGAAGAAAGGGGAAACCCGCUUUCAGAUGGGCCCGCGUCCCAUCAGCUAGUUGGUAAGGUAAAGGCUUACCAAGGCGACGACGGGUAGCCGGUCUGAGAGGAUGUACGGCCACACUGGGACUGAGAUACGGCCCAGACUCCUACGGGAGGCAGCAGUUGGGAAUCUUAGGCAAUGGACGAAAGUCUGACCUAGCGACGCCGCGUGAGGGAAGAAGGCCUUCGGGUUGUAAACCUCUGUCAUGGGGGAAGAAGGAAGUGACGGUACCCCAAGAGGAAGCCCCUGCUAACUACGUG